RNAcentral lists this long non-coding RNA (554 nucleotides) under Oryza brachyantha (malo sina). Its description in RNAcentral is "long non-coding RNA (OBRA_LNC001128)". Lineage: Eukaryota; Viridiplantae; Streptophyta; Magnoliopsida; Poales; Poaceae. The record is from RNAcentral.
GUUUCCCUACCACAUCUUUCAGCAUAUUUGAUCCAGAAACCAACCACUUAAUAUGACGUAUGAGCUAGCUGUUAGUAUAUACCAAUGUGUUCCAGGAUUUAGUUAGGACUUUGUAGUGUGUGUUUCUCUCUAUAUAUACCAAUUCUACUCCCACAUAAUACUUCAGUAAAUCAGUACAGUGGAUCAGAUGAAAGUUGAAAUCUGAACAAAAUGAAGGAGGGCACAAAACUCAAAAGGUGUGAAGCACAUAUGCUGAUUAGAUAAUUAGGAGUUGGAGGCACCAAUGGAAACCAUUGGUAACUGGCAUUCAAAAAAGACCAAUAAGUUUGGUGCUUGAACCGAGCGUUGGUCUAAAACUGGGAGAGAUUAACCCAACGAGGAGAAAGAGUUACUACACCCAAAAAGCUAUCUCAAAAGAUGAAGUGGCCAUCCACUUCUGAGUUGGUGCAACUCUCACUUAGUUUCUAAUAUGGACUAUUAGAACAAUCUUCCAGUCACACAUAUCCCUAAGCACUAACGGACCCUACACAAGCACAUACGGGUCUCACAUCUAU